This is a long non-coding RNA of Heterocephalus glaber (naked mole-rat), 1805 nucleotides long. RefSeq lists it as uncharacterized. The record is from RefSeq and is a predicted model, not a curated record. Lineage: Eukaryota; Metazoa; Chordata; Mammalia; Rodentia; Bathyergidae.
UGGGUUCAAUCUAACUGGUGACUCUAGAUAAAAAGUAUAUAGGCAAUUUUUUUUUUUAACUUUGUGUGAGUAUUUUCAAAAUAACAGAAGUGGAGAGUGUUAUGGUUUGAGUUUGGCCCGGGGGUGUUAGAAGUUUGGUUCUCAGUGUGGUGAUGUCAAGAAUGGGGUCUGACAAGGGAGUCCUUGUGUUACUGGGAGCCAGACUUCUAAGUUCUAAGGGACUCUUAUGCUCCUGCCAGACUGAAUGAAGAGUGACACCACCCCCCCAAAAAAAGAGAGUGAGCCCAACUGCCCAACUGUUCUCUGGCUUCCUGUUUUGCUCUGUGAUCUCUUCCUCUUGCCCUCACUGCAUCAUGAUGUGAUCUGCCAUGAUGUGCUGCAGCCAAGAGGGCCCUCACCAGAGCUAAGUCGAAGUCUUUGAACCUCCAGAACUCAUUUUCUUUCUGGAAACAGAUCUUUACCAAAUCUGGAAAAGAUGAUAUGAACGGCUCCUUAAACUCAUUUCAACUAUGUACAUCAAUGGAAAAAUAAAAAAGUUAUUUCAGAUUUGUAGACAGAAUCUCACUCUGUAACCCAGUCUGGUCUUGAAUUCACCAUCCUCCUGCUUCAGUCUCCCAAGUGCUGAGACUAACUACGGCAAACACCAUCACACCUGGCCUUUAUAUUGCUUCUUCAUAUAACCUUUGCCAUGACUAGAAGGCACAGAUCACCAAAGAUACAUAUGGGAGGAUGUGUCCUAGAACUUCACACAAACCCGAGCAAGAAAAUCCGUCCUUGUGAUGCGGUAACCAACAGUGCAUACCUAAGAGCUGCUCAAAGCAAGUAGCAGCAAUCACAGAACUGUUCUUCAAAGACCCAUAAAUCCAAGUUGGAAGGAAAGGUAUUGACAGGAGGAAGUGCUAAUAUUCUUUAGUCUGUCUGUCCCUGGCAUUUUCCUUUUUCAAAUUUAUUAAACAACUUCUUAAAAAUGUACUUUUAUACUGUUCAAAAUAAUAUUUCACAGAAUAUUGUCAAGUUAUUUUUUCCUUCAAAAGGUAGCCAGAAACAUUAUCAGCAAGCUGGAAGGCUGUUAACAAAAAAAGCAUCUAGUUUCCUUAGCAACAAACAAGUUGAAAAAAAUCAAGAGGUUGACAAUAAAGUGGAGUAGAUGGCAUGAUAAAAGGAAAAGGCAGCUCUUGUGUAGGCACCAUAAGAGGCCAGACUCCUGCACUAAUGCUUCUUUUUUCAUCUUGUCAGUAUGGAAAAUCUAUGUAUUAUACAGAGUGGAGGGCAAAAUCAACACACUCAGAAUGCAGCCAGCAUUACCACACAAACUUUCACUCAUAACCAUAUCUCUAACAGUCACCAAUUUUCAUGCUGGACGUUGUGCCUUUUCCUUACAAUAUUAACUUUUUUUUUUUUGGUGCCAGGGAUUGAACUCAGGUCCUUCGCUUGCAAGGUAAGUGGUGGAACCACAAAGCCAAAUCCCAGGCCCCACAAUAUUAACUAUUUUUAAUUAAUGAACUAUUUUCAAUGACAUGUACACAGGUAAAAAUAAUCUUGGUUUUACAAAGCUUCUAUCUAUAAAAUUUGGCUAUGCAUUUAUUAGAGGUUAACUUUUAACAUUUUAGGGAGAUAAAAAUUGGUAUGUUUGUGGAUUUUGGUUUCAAAUGAUGUAUUUUUCACAAGAGACAAAAACUUAGCAAUUAACAUCAUGGUCAUGUCAAAAAAUGAAGACUUGGGGCCAGGGAUUUAGUUCAGUGGUUAUGAAACUUGCCUCACAAGUACCAUGUCAUGAGUUCAGUCCUUGAUACCGAAAAAAAAAA